CCGGGAAACCGGAGCUAAUACCGGAUAACAUUUUUUCUUGCAUAAGAGAAAAUUGAAAGAUGGUUUCGGCUAUCACUUACAGAUGGGCCCGCGGUGCAUUAGCUAGUUGGUGAGGUAACGGCUCACCAAGGCAACGAUGCAUAGCCGACUUGAGAGGGUGAUCGGCCACACUGGGACUGAGACACGGCCCASACUCCUACGGGAGGCAGCAGUAGGGAAUCUUCCGCAAUGGACGAAAGUCUGACGGAGCAACGCCGCGUGAGUGAUGAAGGCUUUCGGGUCGUAAAACUCUGUUGUUAGGGAAGAACAAGUACAAGAGUAACUGCUUGUACCUUGACGGUACCUAACCAGAAAGCCACGGCUAACUACGUGCCAGCAGCCGCGGUAAUACGUAGGUGGCAAGCGUUAUCCGGAAUUAUUGGGCGUAAAGCGCGCGCAGGCGGUUUCUUAAGUCUGAUGUGAAAGCCCACGGCUCAACCGUGGAGGGUCAUUGGAAACUGGGGAACUUGAGUGCAGAAGAGAAAAGCGGAAUUCCACGUGUAGCGGUGAAAUGCGUAGAGAUGUGGAGGAACACCAGUGGCGAAGGCGGCUUUUUGGUCUGUAACUGACGCUGAGGCGCGAAAGCGUGGGGAGCAAACAGGAUUAGAUACCCUGGUAGUCCACGCCGUAAACGAUGAGUGCUAAGU
Molecule: ribosomal RNA, 686 nt
Filed under: Priestia flexa
Lineage: Bacteria; Bacillati; Bacillota; Bacilli; Caryophanales; Bacillaceae
Description: bacterial SSU rRNA
Source: RNAcentral